RNAcentral lists this non-coding RNA (24 nucleotides) under Arabidopsis thaliana (thale cress). Lineage: Eukaryota; Viridiplantae; Streptophyta; Magnoliopsida; Brassicales; Brassicaceae. The record is from RNAcentral.
UGAAAUGGGAUUAAACGAGCAACA